Daphnia carinata is the source of this 1091-nucleotide long non-coding RNA. RefSeq lists it as uncharacterized. NCBI's taxonomy places the organism in Eukaryota, Metazoa, Arthropoda, Branchiopoda, Diplostraca, Daphniidae. The record is from RefSeq and is a predicted model, not a curated record. The transcript has 7 exons.
UUUUAAGAAUAGAUGUUUAAACAGUGCUGAAAACACUGAAAUUGAUUUAACGGAUAAAAAGCCCACUGAAAAUCUGUUAGGUAAACCAAUGCAGUUGCGCUUCGAUGCUUUUCGAAAACGAAAAUUAAAAAUUGUGAAAGUUCCAAUGUCACAAUCUACUAGAAAGUCAUAGGUAAAGUAAGUGAAAGUUUUGGUUUCUCUUGCACUUCUCCUUUACGUUAGGUACAGGACCUCAAUAUGAAGGCAUGUGGAGUCAUACGGGUCCCACCCAUGGCUUUCUUUGCGAGACAAAAUCAGCAGAGAGAAAUCAGUGAAUUUUAAGAAUAGCAACUUAAACGUAGAUUGGAAGCUACACUGAAAAACCACCAGAAAAGAAAAUUCAAGCAAAUAAAGGAACCACCGUAGAGGAAGACAAAAUAACAACUGAUGCAGCCAGAAUCGCAGUCCUUUUUGCUGUGGAAAAGGCAUGAAGAAACGGAAAGGGGUUAAACUAAUUGAAACCAGAAAUCUCUUUCUACUUACGUUUAUUUUUGUUUAUUUCCUUUCAUUCUUACAUUUUCCCCUUAGGUGUAAAGAAAAAAGACAUGAGGAGGCACCUUUAAAAUCUAGAAAAGACCAAUUUAAAAAAGGGGCCUCAAAAAGCAACUGAUGCAGCCCUAGAAACAGCCGAAGCUGCAGAAACAAAUUCUGUGGAAUUAUUUGAAGAUUGGGAGAUUGAACCAAUAUGCCAGUUGUUGGCGUAAGGAAAAUGGCAUAGAAAAUCAACUGCAAGAGUUCUAGAAAAUACAAUUAAAAAUACCUUUAUCUCAAAAACUAAAAAAUACCAAGAAAAAAUAGACCGAGUCUGUUUCCGUUUUUACGUAAUACGUACAUACGGACCUCCCACGUUUCAAAUUUUUGAAACAGCAACGAUGAAAACUACUUGCAGUGUACUGAAUAUCCAACAACGAUAAUUACCUCUAAAUAAAAGCACUACUGCUUUUUUCAAGUAUUGUUUUGCAUGGGGUUGAAAUUCGAACCACCAACGAUCGGUUUGAAAUAAAAAAAAACGAUAGAAAAAUAAAGCAUAAUAAAUAAUCUAUUCUAUUCUG